GAUGAACGCUGGCGGCGUGCCUAAUACAUGCCAGUCGAGCGAACAGACGAGGAGCUUGUUCCUUAGACGUUAGCGGCGGACGGGUGAGUAGCACGUAGGUAACCUACCUAUAAGACUGGGAUAACUUCGAGAAACCGGAGAUAAUACCGGAUAAUAUUUCGAACCGCAUGGUUCGAUAGUGAAAGAUGGCUUUGCUAUCACUUAUAGAUGGACCUGCGCCGUAUUAGCUAGUUGGUAAGGUAACGGUUUACCAAGGCAACGAUACGUAGCCGACCUGAGAGGGUGAUCGGCCACACUGGAACUGAGACACGGUCCAGACUCCUACGGGAGGCAGCAGUAGGGAAUCUUCCGCAAUGGGCGAAAGCCUGACGGAGCAACGCCGCGUGAGUGAUGAAGGUCUUCGGAUCGUAAAACUCUGUUAUUAGGGAAGAACAAACGUGUAAGUAACUGUGCACGUCUUGACGGUACCUAAUCAGAAAGCCACGGCUAACUACGUG
This 497-nucleotide ribosomal RNA is filed under the name uncultured bacterium. RNAcentral's name for it is "partial 16S ribosomal RNA". It matches the Rfam family "Bacterial small subunit ribosomal RNA", at positions 28 to 507 of the family's 1533-position model. The record is from RNAcentral.